This 492-nucleotide ribosomal RNA is filed under the name uncultured bacterium. RNAcentral's name for it is "partial 16S ribosomal RNA". It matches the Rfam family "Bacterial small subunit ribosomal RNA", at positions 29 to 507 of the family's 1533-position model. The record is from RNAcentral.
AGUGAACGCUGGCGGCAGGCCUAACACAUGCAAGUCGAACGGCAGCACAGUAAGAGCUUGCUCUUCCGGGUGGCGGAGGGGGGGCGGGUGAGGAGAGUAUCGGACCCUUCUUUUUCGGGGGGCUUAAGGAAGGGAAAGUUAAUCCAGUACAGCAUCUCCUCCAGGGGGGAAGGGGGGGGAUCUUGGCACCUGUCGGGUUUGAAUUAGCGGCUUCGGGAUUGGUUGGUUGGGGGGGUAAAGACCCACCCAGGCGACGAUCCGUAGCUGGUCUGAGUGGCUGAUCGGCCACACUGGAACUGAGACACGGUCCAGACUCCUACGGGAGGCAGCAGUGGGGAAUAUUAGACAAUGGGCGCAAGCCUGAUCCAGCCAUACCGCGUGGGUGAAGAAGGCCUUCGGGUUGUAAAGCCCUUUUGUUGGGAAAGAAAAGCAGCAGGUUAAUACCCCGCUGUUCUGACGGUACCCAAAGAAUAAGCACCGGCUAACUUCGUG